ACCUACUGUUUAAUUUUGAGGGUUCGUUUUUACGAAUACUCAAAAUUAGCACUUUAAGCAACAGAAUAAACUGAACGCAUGUGAAGUUUGUUUGUUGGCGCUGUGCGUUAGCACUUUAAGCAACGGGAUUUAUCCGUUGGCGCUGUGCGUUAGCACUUUAAGCAACGGGAUUUAUCCGUUGGCGCUGUGCGUUAGCACUUUGAAAACUGCAUAUAUAUUUAGUGAUAUGACAUCUAAUUUGUAAUAUAUAAAGCUGAUAACUUUUUAAAAUUAUCGAAGUCGAUAGCUUCUAAUCUAUCAAACCUUUUUAACUGGUCAA
This 319-nucleotide unclassified non-coding RNA is filed under the name Clostridioides difficile. RNAcentral describes it as "16S-23S ribosomal RNA intergenic spacer (ISR)". Lineage: Bacteria; Bacillati; Bacillota; Clostridia; Peptostreptococcales; Peptostreptococcaceae. The record is from RNAcentral.